GCGUCACUAGCUCAGUUGGAAGAGCACACGACCGAUAAUCGUGAGGUCCUUGGUUCGAUCCCAAGGUGACGCACCA
This 76-nucleotide transfer RNA is filed under the name Nevskiaceae bacterium. RNAcentral's name for it is "tRNA-Ile". It matches the Rfam family "tRNA". From Rfam's summary of the family: Transfer RNA (tRNA) molecules are approximately 80 nucleotides in length. Their secondary structure includes four short double-helical elements and three loops (D, anti-codon, and T loops). Further hydrogen bonds mediate the characteristic L-shaped molecular structure. tRNAs have two regions of fundamental functional importance: the anti-codon, which is responsible for specific mRNA codon recognition, and the 3' end, to which the tRNAs corresponding amino acid is attached (by aminoacyl-tRNA synthetases). tRNAs cope with the degeneracy of the genetic code in two manners: having more than one tRNA (with a specific anti-codon) for a particular amino acid; and 'wobble' base-pairing, i.e. permitting non-standard base-pairing at the 3rd anti-codon position. The record is from RNAcentral. Lineage: Bacteria; Pseudomonadati; Pseudomonadota; Gammaproteobacteria; Nevskiales; Nevskiaceae.